Pezoporus flaviventris is the source of this 2177-nucleotide long non-coding RNA. RefSeq lists it as uncharacterized. The record is from RefSeq and is a predicted model, not a curated record. Lineage: Eukaryota; Metazoa; Chordata; Aves; Psittaciformes; Psittacidae. The transcript is spliced from 4 exons.
UACCUUCUUACUCAGCAGUUAAGAUGCUUAGGUGCAUUCUGACUAACCUUCUGGCUUGGCGGGCUGAGAUAAUUUUUACUGCUUUUCUUGCCUGUUAACCCUGCAGAAUUAAAAGAAUAGCUGUAAGAGAGGAAGCUGGAUAUUGGUCCUUUCUGUACUGAAUUGACAAAAUUGUAUUCUAAGUUUCAGAUAGUCAUAGUGAACAAACCACAGGAUCAAUUAGUAACUGUCCUUAAAGGAAACCCCUGGGUUGUGCUUCAGAGUUUGGGUCUUCAUAUUAGGCAGUGGUGCCAGGAAAGGAAAGCUGUGGUCACAUCCCAGGACUGACAGCAAGGAAAGCUCUGCCUUCCUUAAGGGAGGACAGAAGUUGCUGUGAAACGUUCCUGGAAAUGAAAGAGAAGGAGGAAAAGGAUCUUUGAGUAUUAGCUGGUCACACACAAUGAACUGCUAAAAGUAAUGAUUAAUUCAAAUGGAAACAGGUGUAAGAAUGGCCUCUAGGAUUUUCUGGAGAAUAAAGAUACUAUCACCAGAAAUUUGGUCUUAAAAACUUUGCCGAGGAAAAUGGAGACUGGGAAGGAAUCUGUCCAGAAACACACCUGGUGGUAAGCAACAGGUGCUCUUCGGUUGCCACCAGAUGGCAACAGAAAUCCGUCUAAGCGCGGCAGGAUUCUGCAGCGACUGCUCAAUUCCUGCUGCUUUCCUGCCUGGAAGGUUUGCAGGGGCGUUUUGCACAGCCUGCCUACCAAAAAGGAAAGGAAAGAGAGAACAAAACAAGCCGGCGUGAUUUUCUCGUCACCAGGCACGCAGAUGGUGGGGUUUGUGCAGCUCGGGGCAGCGGCGGAGCGCUGCUGUGUGAUGUGGCGUGUGUUCCUGAUGAAGAGGAGCAUGGAUGUGCCAACCCGCUCUGCAGUCAGCUGCUGCUGACUAUUGCAGAUGUGUUCUCGGUGACCCAGAAACGAAAAUAGCUAAGGGUGAACUCAGGACAGGCGUUGAGGUAGACGAGCAGGCUUCGGGAGAGCCCCGAGGAGCAGGGGGGUGCAGGGCUGCAUAGCUGUCAGUUAAACAUUGCGGGAAGUCAGCCAUCUCCUCCGUAGCCUCUGUCACGAAGCGGCAGCAGUCCUGCCCUUCUAUUUUGCAACAGGUCCCUCCUAAAAGAAGUGCUGCCACAUCUUUAGCCCCCUGCCCCCAGGCACAGGCGCAUCGCUUAGCAACCCCUGCCUGAGACGAGCGGGAGAGCCGGUUUCCAGGGGCAACAGGCGCAUUUUUACAUCAUAAAUAACUGUUCGGGUGCUCCCGAACACCUCCCGUCUGCUCUGGCUGGGCUCACAGCGUCAGACAGCUGGAAACUGAAUCCCUAAAAGUGGCCCUUUUUUCCAGGAAUGGCAGAGGUGAGCUUGGAAAGAGGGCUUCCCUGUAACGCACACAGCUGAUGUAGCUAAUAAAGCUAAUUUGGCUAAAUCAGCUAAUUCAAGAGACGGGGUGGCUCAUCUGCCUAGUCCUGGCAGCCUUAGAGUCACUCAGGGAACACGAAAAGCAAGAUAAAGGAAGGAAGAAAGGAAAAGAAAGGAAGGGAGACUGGUGAGGGAAACGGAGAAAAGAAAACAGGGAGUGGGUGGGAGAGCUGGGGUGAGGAGAGGCAGUGCGUGGAAUGACUGGGAGGGCAGCUGGGAAGCUCCAUGAUGAGCAUCAGAGAGUGGGGUGCAGAUGGGAGGUUUGGGGAGUGAACGUGUGUUGGAAGGAAUGCUUUCCAUGAUUUAAGUACCCCAGGAAACCUGUCUAAAACUUGAAACUAAAAGCAAGACAAAGGGAAUUUUAAAUUGCAAAAAGAUCUAGAGCUGGGGAACCUUAGGAAAAAUGAGACUUGGCUGUAAGCCAGCAGUCCUAGGGCACAGGAAGGAGAUCAGGAAACUCUUCAAUACACAUGCCACAGACAUGAUGUUCAUUGCAGAUCCCCUGCAACAAAACAGUGAGAGCCCUGCUGUAGCCAAAUAAUAGUGUUUUCUAUAUUGUAUUGUCAACAGAAAAGCUCUAGGAAAUUUUACAGAUCUGUGUACAUCUGGAGAGCAGGCCAAGCUCUUCAUGCCUGUUAAAACAAGAUCAUACAUCAGUAUUUAAGUGCAAAAGGAUACAGCUAAAUAAACUUUGUCACGCUAUUUUGCGUUAUCCACACUACAUUA